GUUAGUCUAGACAUCAAUAUCACAAACACAUCACACAAAGUGAAAUUCUACUCGAUGGCUUCUUUCAAUCAAUCUCGACUUUGGGUAAUUUUGUGUGUUGCCUUUACUUUGCUCUCAGGAUUCAUAACAAAUCUAGAUGCCAUGACUCCGCAACCAAUAUAUAAGUGCCUCGAACGUAAGGAUUGCGUAGAUAAUAUACAGUGCACAAACAGUUGUUCUUUUUUCGGAUAUAAAAAAGGUGGUAUAUGUUUAUCUAAGACUUGUUGUUGUUAUACAUAGUGAUAGUGAUAUUAUUGUACUCUUUAAUACCAAUGAAAUAAAACUCAUAUAUGCAAUAUUGAAUGAAUAAAACUCAUAUAUGCGAUACUUUUGAAACA
Molecule: long non-coding RNA, 377 nt
Organism: Lathyrus oleraceus (garden pea)
Lineage: Eukaryota; Viridiplantae; Streptophyta; Magnoliopsida; Fabales; Fabaceae
Exons: 2
Source: RefSeq, a predicted model, not a curated record